GGCACGUGAAAUCCCGUGUGAAUCUGCGAGGACCACCUCGUAAGGCUAAAUAUUCCUAAAUGACCGAUAGUGAAAUAGUACCGUGAGGGAAAGGUGAAAAGAACCCCGAUAGGGGAGUGAAAUAGAACAUGAAACUGUAAACUUACAAGCAGUAGGAGGACGACUUAACGUCUGACUGCGUGCCUGUUGAAGAAUGAGCCGGCGACUUAUAAGUAUUGGCAGGUUAAUUGUUGGAGCCAUAGCGAAAGCGAGUCUGAAUAGGGCGUUUGUCAUUGCUUAUAGACCCGAACCCGGAUGAUCUAACCAUGGCCAGGGUGAAGCUUAGGUGAAAUUAAGUGGAGGCCCGAACCGACUGAUGUUGAAAAAUCAGCGGAUGAGUUGUGGUUAGGGGUGAAAUGCCAAUCGAAUCCGGAGCUAGCUGGUUCUCCCCGAAAUGUGUUUUGGCGCAGCGGU
Molecule: ribosomal RNA, 453 nt
Filed under: uncultured Pelagophyceae
Lineage: Eukaryota; Pelagophyceae
Description: partial Bacterial large subunit ribosomal RNA
Rfam family: Bacterial large subunit ribosomal RNA
Source: RNAcentral